RNAcentral lists this unclassified non-coding RNA (1120 nucleotides) under Hevea brasiliensis (rubber tree). Lineage: Eukaryota; Viridiplantae; Streptophyta; Magnoliopsida; Malpighiales; Euphorbiaceae. The record is from RNAcentral.
CUUAAAUGGUAAUUGAAACAUCAAAACUAAACACAAUGGAAAAUUUAAAUUAGUAGAGCUGUAAAGGUGCUUUUUUUUUCUCCCUCAGAAAUAAUCAGAGAAAACUAAACGGAAAACAACCCAGAGCAAUAUCUAAUUGACAACAGAUCAUGGCAUUCAAAUUGCAAAAAUUAAGCGUUAGCAAACUUCGAAGUCCUGCUUUGGGUGGUGAUGAUGAGGAUGGUAGAUGCGUUGUUCUUCCUGCUGUUGUUGCUGAUGCUGCCUUAACAUUUCCUUCUGCCUCCGGAGCUCCAAUACCUUACGGUGCGAGUUUGAGUGCUGAGUCAGAACGAAAGUCGGGCUGGCCGCCGGUCUAUAUUCGGGGACCAGCCUACCCGAUUUAUACCUUACACCGCAGGCAUUGCACAGCGUUUUGGGGCCCAGAGGACCCGUGCGCCACUGUGGAGUCUUCUCUGAAGCGCAGUGGGUGCACCUCCUAACUUCUCCCUCAGCCGUCGGUGACGAUGCCCUAUUAAUCUCCUUCUUCGAUUUCAAUUUCCCGGCUGUAGGAGAUGCAAUUUCUGGAGAGGAUGAUGCCCAGGGCGUAGACUUGGUUGCUGUGCCUCUUGAGCGUUUACUGCGAGCUUUGGCACACAAUGAAGUAUCGGAUCGGACGUUGAUUGUACCGGCAAGUGAGUUGGUAGGGAAGUCGAUAAACGAGUCGUCUACGAAUUGCGAUAGCCACUCCAGCUCAGCCACGUCAUCACUAGGGACGGAGAGAUGAUCGGUGAAGUCCGUUGAGAUAGCGGGGUUAAAAGGAGCGGAAGAGGGGCAGUGGUGAAUGGAAGGAUUUUCAGGCAGAGAAAGUUGAUGAUGGUGGUUGGUAGCGGUGGAGGAAGAGGUUGAAGUGGAAGAGGAGAAGAGUUCGUCGUUGGUUAAGUCAAGGAGGUCGUCAAUGCGGAAGUAAUCUGGUGUAGAAAUUCCGUAAAUGUCCAUGUCCUUCCCUUUUAUUGUUGGGCUCGUUUUCUUGUGUCUUUCGGCUCUCUAAACUUGAGCGCAGAGAGAGAAGAGAGGAAGGAGAAAGAGGAGAGCAGGGAUUUGCUAUAUUGAUGAUACAGGGAGUGAGUAUGGGCAGAGUGAG